This is a long non-coding RNA of Entelurus aequoreus (snake pipefish), 3454 nucleotides long. RefSeq lists it as uncharacterized. The record is from RefSeq and is a predicted model, not a curated record. The transcript is spliced from 2 exons. NCBI's taxonomy places the organism in Eukaryota, Metazoa, Chordata, Actinopteri, Syngnathiformes, Syngnathidae.
AGAAUUGCAAGUAACAUUUUGUUUCUCAAUUGCAAAUGGACCUUGUCCAAAUCUCCCCAAACUUGUCCCAAUCGUUUGUGUCGUUACGGUUUUUUGAAGUUAUUAAGGUUUUAUGGUAUUAAUUAUUUACUAAUUAUAUUAUCAUAACUUGCCCUCCAACCAUGUAAAAAUCUCCCCAAACCAGUCCCAAUUCUUUGUGCUCUAAAAAAAAAUUCUGUAUACCUGUUAGUUUUGAAGUUAUUAACAUUUUAUGGUUUUAUGUUACUAAAGUUUCAUGUUUUUAAUGUUAUUAACAUGUUGUUAUUAUAUUAUAUAUCUGUGUUGGCUCUGCCAUGAGGUGGCGACUUGUCCAGGAAAGGUGUGGUCGUGCCAGCAACCUGGUUCGAUCCCCAGCUUCUACCAACCUAGUCACGUCCGUUGUGUCCUUGAGCAAGACACUUCACCCUUAAUCCUGAUGGGUCGUGAUUAGCCUUGCAUGGCAGCUCCCGCCAUCAGUGUGGGAAUGUGUGUGUGAAUGGUGAAUGUGGAAAUAGUGUAAAAGCCCUUUGAGUACCUUGAAGGUAGAAAAGUGCUAUAUAAGUAUUUAUACAUUGUACAUUUACCCAUUUACAUUUACCCCGCCUUCCGUCUGAAUGCAGCUGUCACCCCUGCGACCAUGAGAGGAACAAGCUGUAGAAAAUGUAUUGGUGGGUUAUAAAGAACAAAUUAAAAAAAUACAUGUCAAUAUUUUAUUUUUUAUUUUAUUUUUCUCCUGUCCAGCUUCUCAGGCAAAUCAUAUAGUUGAUGUAGAUGCCCAUAUCGGCUGUUCAGAUAGAAAGAGAAAAAAAGGAAGACAGAGAGGGGAAUUGGACGGCGUGGCGAAGUUGGUAGAGUGGCUGUGCCAGCAAUCGGAGUGUUGCUGGUUACUGGGGUUCAAUUCCCACCUUCUACCUUCCUAGUCACGUCCGUUGUGUCCUUGGGCAAGACACUUCACCCUUUGCCCCUGAUGGCUGCUGGUUAGCGCCUUGCAUGGCAGCUCCCGCCAUCAGUGUGUGAAUGUGUGUGUGAAUGGGUAAAUGUGGAAAUAGUGUCAAAGCGCUUUGAGUACCUUGAAGGUAGAAAAGCGCUAUACAAGUACAACCCAUUUAUCAUUUAUAAUUGUGGGGACAAGAGGGGGAUUAGACAGAGAGACAAAAGCAACAACAGCAAACACAACAACAACAAUAGAGCAACAUCAGCAAAUACGACAUGUACAAAUAUGAUGGUAAAAGUAAUAGCAAAUAAGCAGUUAGCGAAAAUAAAAAAUAAUACAGAAAUGACAAUGAGCAUUAUUACACUACAAAUGGAGCAAUACAAAUACCAAUAGAAAUAGCGCUAUUGAUAAUGAACAAUACCAAUACUUUACCUUUAUUAUCAACAAUACAGUUGUUCAAAUGCAACAAUACAUAUACGUAAUGAUAACUUGAGAUACGAAAGAAUGCAGAAAAAUGGAGGGGAAGAUAGAGAAGCAACCUACAUUAACCUUGUAGAUUGUUAUAGUAACAAUAGGUUAAGCUUUGUCAGUGUGCCAUGUGUUAUACCCAGUUUACCCUAUGGCAACAACAUUAAUAUAUUUUUGAUGAAACGUGAUUAUGUGCAUGAGUGUAUGUGUGCAUAUGUACUUGUAUAUGUACAGCAUGUGUAUAUUUGUUUGUACAGUGAAUGUAUAUGUACACUAUGUGUAUAUGUGUGUUUGUAAAGUGAAUGUAUAUGUACAGUAUGUGUGUGUUUGUACAGUGAAUGUAUAUGUACACUAUGUGUAUACAGUAUGUGUGUACAGUGAAUGUAUAUGUACAGUAUGUGUAUAUGUGUUUGUACAGUAAGUGUAUAUGUACAGUAUGUGUAUGUUUGUAUAAUGAAUGUGCGUGUGGAUGUACGAACUUUGAGUGUGUAAAUAUGUGCUGUAUUUGUACAUGUAUGUGGGAGCGUAGGUACCUGUGUGUGUGUGUGUGUGUAUGUAUGUAUGUAUGUGAAUUUGUAUGUACAAUACAUUUGACUCCCAGUGUGUGUGGGAGCCAGAGUACGGCCCCAGUCUCCCCGAGAGCCCAACCCACAAACAGUAGGUGUGGUGCCCAGGGAACCAGGGACCACCGCCCCCGCGCAGCCAAGCCGGUCAGCGACAGGAACCCCAGAGCCCGGUCCACCGCGCCGCCCACAAGGGCCAGCAGCAGGCCGCAGACAGACGCACCCGGCAGAGGACAAGGCACGAGAAAAGCAGGGGACAGCCAGACCCCAAGCCAGCGAGAGACCACACCCCACACGGGCAGAAAGGCGGGACGCCCCGCCCGAGGGGCCCGGAGACCCCCCCGCAACCGGACAGGAAGACUGCCCCCGCCCCACCGGCAACCGGGCCCCCAUGAGCCCAUCCCCACCCCCGGAGAGCGCGGCGAGGCCAGCCCCCGGCCACCCCACCCAAGUCGGCCGCCACAGGACCACCCAGCACGGGGCCACGGGAACCACCCCAACGAUGGAGAUGGAACAACCAGCAACUGCCCCGCCGAGGCCCCCCCCCCCCUGAGAAUUAAAAGAAGAUCACAGACAUGCUGACACACAAGGUCACUACCCCUCGGAAAACCUUGCAGCACCAAGCUACCACAGUAGACGCAGGGACUAGACCCAGCAGGCCCCAACCAAGACGGGCACCCGGAAGGGAUGGACGGUGGGAACCAGGAGCUCCAGACACGCAGUCCGGAUGCAGUAGCCUGAGGUGCCGACCCCCACCUGACAGGCAGGCCCAGAACGUACCCCCAGAAAUAUACAUACAUAUCUAUAUACAUACACAUGUACACAUACACACACAUAUACAUACACAUUCACAUAUAUACACAUACACAUAAAUAUACAUACACACAUACAUACAUACAUACAUACAUACAUAUACACAGCUUGUCAGCCCCGACAACCAUCACGCGCGCGCAGCCACCAGUCACAACAUCAGCCACCCCCCUGCACCAGACCCAGCAGCCACGGGCGCCCACACCACAAACAAACGGCAGCAGAAACAGCAGCAGCAAUACCCCCAGACAGCCAGCACCACCCAAUCAAAUCAAAGCGAUCAAAAAAAAACUGCGACCGGCAACCACAUGCCAACAGGAUCAGCGUGUGAUCAGCGCCAGCCCGCCAGCCAACCCAAACGCCAACACGCAAACAAGAGACACCAACACCCUCCCCCCCCCCACCAAAAGACCCCACCACCCCAACCCAAACCCGCACAAACACACCACCGCCCAAACAACCGAGACACAGCAUCCAGACCAGACAUGGGCGCCGCGCCGCCACCACAUCAAGUCACCAACAGAGACCCCACAGCGCAAGGUCGGGCCACACGGGCACGGACCCCACCCAACAGGAAGCGAGACCCGCGCGACGCCACACACAAAUAAAUAAAAAGAUUAAAUAAUAAUAAUAAUAAAAAUUUAAAUAAAAUUAAAAGUAA